UACGAAGGGGGCUAGCGUUGUUCGGAAUUACUGGGCGUAAGCGCGCGCAGGCGGUCUUCCAAGUCAGUGGUGAAAGCCCGGAGCUCAACUCCGGACUGCCAUUGAAACUGUGAGACUGGAGUACGAGAGAGGUGAGUGGAAUUCCCAGUGUAGAGGUGAAAUUCGUAGAUAUUGGGGAAGAACACCGAUGGCGAAGGCAAUCCCCCUGGGCCUGCACUGACGCUCAUGCACAAAGCGUGGGGAGCAAACAGG
This 252-nucleotide ribosomal RNA is filed under the name uncultured bacterium. RNAcentral's name for it is "partial 16S ribosomal RNA". It matches the Rfam family "Bacterial small subunit ribosomal RNA", at positions 524 to 776 of the family's 1533-position model. The record is from RNAcentral.